RNAcentral lists this ribosomal RNA (576 nucleotides) under Phaeotremella skinneri. RNAcentral's name for it is "eukaryotic LSU rRNA". It matches the Rfam family "Eukaryotic large subunit ribosomal RNA", at positions 92 to 652 of the family's 3401-position model. The record is from RNAcentral. Lineage: Eukaryota; Fungi; Basidiomycota; Tremellomycetes; Tremellales; Phaeotremellaceae.
AGUGAACAGGGAAGAGCUCAAAUUUGAAAUCUGGCGUCCUCAGGGCGUCCGAGUUGUAAUCUAUAGAGACGUUUUCCGUGCCGGACCGUAUCCAAGUUCCUUGGAAUAGGAUAUCAAAGAGGGUGAGAAUCCCGUGCUUGAUACGACGACCGGUGCCCUGUGAUACGUCUUCUACGAGUCGAGUUGUUUGGGAAUGCAGCUCAAAACGGGUGGUGAACUCCAUCUAAAGCUAAAUAUUGGCGAGAGACCGAUAGCGAACAAGUACCGUGAGGGAAAGAUGAAAAGCACUUUGGAAAGAGAGUUAAACAGUACGUGAAAUUGUUGAAAGGGAAACGAUUGAAGUCAGUCGUGUCCGGGAGGCUCAGCCGGUUCUGCCGGUGUAUUCCUCUCGGACGGGUCAACAUCAGUUUUGACCGGUGGAUAAGGGCGGCGGGAAGGUGACUCCCCUCGGGGUGUUUUAUAGCCCGCUGUCGCAUACAUCGGUCGAGACUGAGGAAUGCAGCUCGCCCUCACGGGCCGGGGGUUCGCCCCACGUCCGAGCUUAGGAUGUUGACGUAAUGGCUUUAAACGACCCGU